RNAcentral lists this long non-coding RNA (982 nucleotides) under Oryzias javanicus (javanese ricefish). RNAcentral's name for it is "lncRNA (ENSOJAG00000020883.1)". Lineage: Eukaryota; Metazoa; Chordata; Actinopteri; Beloniformes; Adrianichthyidae. The record is from RNAcentral.
GUUUAAUAAUUCACCAUGUAAAAUUAUUUGAUGAACCUCCGUAACAAGAAAAAAAAAUGUUUUUUUAAAUGAAAUAAAUGUUUUUUUUCCCAUCAGGAGCCAUUUUCGACCUGGAUCUGAAUCUGGAUCUGAAUCUGGAUCUGAAUCUGGAUUUGAAUCAGAAUCUGAAUCUGGAUCUGAAUCUGGAUCUGGAUCUGAAUCUGGAUCUGAAUCUGGAUCCAGCUGUGUGUCCUUCAGGAGUGACAAGUCAAAGGACUUUAAUCCUGACUUCAAGUCCAUCAGUCCAGGAGUGAAACAGAGCCAUUUUCGACCUGGAUUUGAAUCAGAAUCUGAAUCUGGAUCUGAAUCUGGAUCUGGAUCUGAAUCUGGAUCUGAAUCUGGAUCUGAAUCUGGAUUUGAAUCAGAAUCUGAAUCUGGAUCUGAAUCUGAAUCUGGAUCUGAAUCUGAAUCUGAAUCUGGAUCUGGAUCUGGAUCUGAAUCAGGAUCUGGAUCUGAAUCUGAAUCUGGAUCUGAAUCUGGAUCCAGCUGUGUGUCCUUCAGGAGUGACAAGUCAAAGGACUUUAAUCCUGACUUCAAGUCCAUCAGUCCAGGAGUGAAACAGAGCCAUUUUCGACCUGGAUCUGAAUCUGGAUCUGAAUCUGAAUCUGGAUCUGAAUCUGGAUCUGAAUCUGGAUUUGAAUCAGAAUCUGAAUCUGGAUCUGAAUCUGGAUCUGGAUCUGAAUCUGGAUCUGAAUCUGGAUCCAGCUGUGUGUCCUUCAGGAGUGACAAGUCAAAGGACUUUAAUCCUGACUUCAAGUCCAUCAGUCCAGGAGUGAAACAGUAAGUGUUUGUCAGAGUUAAAGGAGGCUGGAUAAUAGUUCAGAUGAUCAAUAGUUUUCAGAUAAAUGAUUGAGAUCUGGUUCAGUUUUUGAUCUCUCUGAUCAGACUCACUUGGAGCUAAGGCUGGGCAUUGGUUAUAAUUUCCAGAAUCGAUUCGAUUUCA